This 217-nucleotide long non-coding RNA is filed under the name dengue virus type 2. Its description in RNAcentral is "Dengue virus type 2 partial sfRNA2". The stretch from base 83 to 154 matches the Rfam family "Flavivirus DB element". Lineage: Riboviria; Orthornavirae; Kitrinoviricota; Flasuviricetes; Amarillovirales; Flaviviridae. The record is from RNAcentral.
AAGAAGUCAGGCCACUACAAGUGCCAUAACUUGAGCAAAUUGUGCAGCCUGUAGCUCCACCUGGGAAGGUGUAAAAAAUCUGGGAGGCCACAAACCAUGGAAGCUGUACGCAUGGCGUAGUGGACUAGCGGUUAGAGGAGACCCCUCCCUUGCAAAUCGCAGCAACAAUGGGGGCCCAAGGUGAGAUGAAGCUGUAGUCUCACUGGAAGGACUAGAG